RNAcentral lists this long non-coding RNA (234 nucleotides) under Elaeis guineensis (African oil palm). Its description in RNAcentral is "long non-coding RNA (EGUI_LNC065076)". The record is from RNAcentral. Lineage: Eukaryota; Viridiplantae; Streptophyta; Magnoliopsida; Arecales; Arecaceae.
CCCCAACAUACUGCACCUUUUUCUUAUUUUUAUUCUUUUUCUUUCCUUUCUUAAAGGGACAACACCUACUGAAGAGCCACCCACCAUGUUCAUCAUCUUCUUGUAAAGCUAGUGAUCCUUCUCAAAAGUCUGCAGCAACCCCAAUAAACCAUGAUAGUUGACUGCAGAUUUUGUUAUUCUAUAAUGACUGAAAAAAGAUAGGUAGGACUUGGGUAGAGAGUUCAGUGUCACAUC